This 484-nucleotide ribosomal RNA is filed under the name uncultured bacterium. RNAcentral describes it as "partial 16S ribosomal RNA". It matches the Rfam family "Bacterial small subunit ribosomal RNA", at positions 30 to 507 of the family's 1533-position model. The record is from RNAcentral.
AUUGAACGCUGGCGGUAGGCCUAACACAUGCAAGUCGAGCGGCUGCAGGGUGCUUGCUCCUGGAUUCAGCGGCGGACGGGCGAGUAAUGCCUAGGAAUCUGCCUGGUAGCGGGUGCUAACGUGCGGACACGGGCGCUCAUACCGCAUAAGUCCUGAGGGCGUAAGUGUGGGAUCUUCGGAUCUCACGCUAUCAGAUGAGCCUAGGUCGGAUUAGCUAGUUGGUGGGGUAACGGCCUACCAAGGCGACGAUCCGUAACUGGUCUGAGAGGCUGAUCAGUCACACUGUGACUGAGACACGGGCCAGACUCCUACGGGAGGCAGCAGUGGGGAAUAUUGGACAAUAGGCGAAAGCCUGAUCCAGCCAUGCCGCGUGUGGGAAAAAGGUCUUCGGAUUGUAAAGCACUUUAAGUUGGGAAGAAAAGCAGUAAGUUAAUACCUUGCUGUUUUGACGUUACCAACAGAAUAAACACCGGCUAACUUCGUG